GCCAACUGCUUUUCCAACUGCCUUACCCAACCAACCAACCAACCCACUGAAACCAACCAACUGCCCCCACCCAAACCUUGGGCUAAGUCCUUUUAUAAACAGCUGAAAUGGGGAAAACACACAGAGAGGCCAGCAUUGGGAUUAGAAAAUAGAAGAAUUUGCUUCUUCACCUUCUUUCACUUUGGCACAGAGCAGAGCACAGAUUAACUCCUUACAGUCCAGGAUGGUAAAAAGACUGGCGUAAUAAAUACAAUCGUGUUCAUUUGGUUGUGAAGACAUUUGUGGCUGCAAAACCGGGCUGGACUUUUACAAACUAGGUUUAGAGGGAAGGGCUUUCAAGUCUGCAGUCUGUAGGAAGAAGACUACAUUCCCAGCACCAGAGGAGUGUGGUGAUGUUCAGAAAAGGCUGGUUUGAUGUGCCACAUUACUUUUUCAACAGCAGUUUUCUUUCUGCAUCUUAAUAGAAAAUCCCUGACCUUGAAAUGAGAUGAGUAAUUGGUGUUAAAUCCGAGAAAUAAAAAUGUAAAUAAUCCUCUAUUAUGACUCUUACAAUAACAGAACAUGACAUUGGGGC
Podarcis raffonei (Aeolian wall lizard) is the source of this 574-nucleotide long non-coding RNA. RefSeq lists it as uncharacterized. Lineage: Eukaryota; Metazoa; Chordata; Lepidosauria; Squamata; Lacertidae. The transcript is spliced from 2 exons. The record is from RefSeq and is a predicted model, not a curated record.